This 908-nucleotide long non-coding RNA is filed under the name Anser brachyrhynchus (Pink-footed goose). Its description in RNAcentral is "lncRNA (ENSABRG00000007764.1)". The record is from RNAcentral. Lineage: Eukaryota; Metazoa; Chordata; Aves; Anseriformes; Anatidae.
UCCAUUUUCUACUCUCAUCUGAUAUGACGCUCUGUUGACAGAAAGAUGAUUUAUUUGCUUUUCCACCAUCUCUGCAGAAUUCAUGCUUGUCACAUGGUGAAGUCUUCAUGAUUCACUGGGUUUCUGUAAAAAAAAUGCAUCUCUUUUUCUUCCUUUUUCAUAAGAUAAAUACUUUCUUGCCCAACUGUAUUGCAAGUGAUACACGACAAACAUGGGAUUAAAAAUUAAAACAAAGAUCCAAAAUUUUGUGCUCAUUGGUUGCUUGGUUGUGGUGACAAAAGUCUACUCAGACAUUUGGAAGCACAGAGGUUGCCACAAGGUGUGUCCUAAGUAGAUUUGGCUUGCCACAGGCAGCAUGAGAGAGGAGUGAAGGUUGACUGAUUAUAUGAGAUGAAGCAAGAAACAGGAAGAAGCAAGAAUCAAUGUGAAGUUAAGAAGAGAUUUGACUUGAUGGAUAUCUGUCUCCCCAUAACCAAGCUCUGGGAAGGACAGUUUAACACAAUGCAGAAGACUAGCUUGUUCUUAAAGCGGUGACAAGUAAAUGGUGACAUUGCCAAAUCAUAUCAGUAGGGUCUGGAUCUUCACCACAGGGAUUUGUGACAUCCAAGAAGUCAGCAAACAAAGGGUGGCAUUGCGAGUCUUCCUGUAUUCUGUCAAGGACUUCUCAGUCUUCAUGAUUGCUGUGUUGCUGUGGUGUAGCAGCUGUCUUGUUGCUGAUGUCCAAAGCUAGGGGUGCAUAAUAUCUUCUACUAAACCAUACAAGGUAGAUUCCUCCAACUGAAGAUCUAACUGAAAGGCUGCUUGGAAGAAUAUCAGUAACUGAAUAAGCUUAUAUAUUUCUAUGGGUGUUGCCAGGAUGCUGGCUAUAAGUAAUACAAGUGGGUAACAGCUGAAUAAAAUAAAAUUCA